RNAcentral lists this ribosomal RNA (253 nucleotides) under uncultured bacterium. RNAcentral's name for it is "partial 16S ribosomal RNA". It matches the Rfam family "Bacterial small subunit ribosomal RNA", at positions 524 to 776 of the family's 1533-position model. The record is from RNAcentral.
GACAGAGGGUGCAAACGUUGCUCGGAAUUACUGGGCGUAAAGCGCGUGUAGGCUGACCGGAAAGUCGGGCGUGAAAGCCCUGGGCUCAACCCAGGAACUGCACUCGAAACUCCCGGUCUAGAGUGGUGGAGAGGGAAGUGGAAUUCCUGGUGUAGAGGUGAAAUUCGUAGAGAUCGGGAGGAACACCCGUGGCGAAGGCGGCCAUCUGGACCAGCACUGACGCUGAGGCACGAAAGCGUGGGGAGCAAACAGG